Molecule: long non-coding RNA, 4075 nt
Organism: Gallus gallus (chicken)
Lineage: Eukaryota; Metazoa; Chordata; Aves; Galliformes; Phasianidae
Exons: 3
Source: RefSeq, a predicted model, not a curated record
GGAGAAAAAGUUCCCAAAGAAACCUCUGAUGGAGAAUUCCCUGCGGGGAACAACCUCUUCGGAAGAAGCUCCCCGCCUUCCGGGGCCAACUUGCUGCAAAGCUUCCUUGCUUUCUGCCAUCCCCCGCGGUGACUGGACAAGUGCCUGAGAUCAACGGACCUACUGCAAACCUCGCUGGACCCACGGUGGUGACUCACUCUCUCUCUUGCUCUCUACAAAGACUCCUUGCUUUUAUUUCCUAUCUCUUUUCUAUCGUCCGUCUUCCCCUCCCCACAUCCCUAAGCUGGUCGGGCUACUAACUGGUCCAGUUAGCCUAACUGGCCGGGCUAACAUUUGACCCGUUGUGACUUAAUCUCACCAUCGGGUAUACAUGUAUUAAAAGAACUUCUUCUCCCUCCUAUAAAUUGGAGCGAGACGCUCCUGAGUCACUGCUAAGCUGAGAAAAAGUUUCAGCCAGAUUCUACCCCAGCUUGCAAAAUGAGAGGAAAACAAAGAGAAAAAUUACAGGAAAUGGAAGGAAAACCUGUUGGACAUGGGAAAAGCAAAGCUGUACAUAGUACAGAAUAAACAGAAUGGAAAGCUGCAGCAUCAUGAAAGUGAUUUCCUCCGCUGCAAUCCGAGGCUUUCUGCAAGGAGAAAACUUGACAAAGCCCACCCCAGUAGCCAGGUAUCCUGGGCCAGCCUCCCCGCCAGCCAGUUCAGUGCCACCUGAAGUGGUGAGGACACCAGAAAGCACCAUCCGCCAAGCACAAUGAAGACCUCAAGGUAUGCAUCUACACAAAAGACCAUCUGCAAAACCCAGAAACAAAAAUAUCAUCCACAGUGAAGUUGGACCCAGGACACUCGGAGCUGGAUUCCAGUCUCCAUGGAGCUGCCCGUUUGGAAAGCACAAUGGGAUUAGAACUGAGACCACUGUUGUAUCAACAGUCAUCUCCUUGAACUAACCAAAUGAGGUGCAGCUGGCAGCUCUUCUCCUCUGCAGCCAGCUCUGCUGCAUCUCUCUUAGGAGCUCUCUUGGACCCAGCCUCUCUACAGUAUGUUUGACUCCAGCACAAUGAUGCCACUGAAGUUUUACAGCCUUAUUGGAAAAAAAUCCAUUGUUUGCUACUAGCUUUUAUUUAGCUGGAAAACAGAUUUAGGAAGCAGACAUAUUUGUCUGGCUCAACAUGCUAUGUAAGUGUGCAGGCAAGAGGGUGAAAACUCGUUAGUAUGAAACAUAAUGUGCAUCAUUUAAAGUCCUGUGGGAUAAAUCUCUCUAUUUCUUGCCAUAAGAGUAUAGGUGGUCUAAGUUAGAAUAUCUAUAAAAAUGUUUAUUUUCUUUUUUUAGCUGGCUGUUUUUUUACUGUGACCAAGCAGAAAAAAAAAAAAAAAGAAAAAGAAAAAGAAAAAAGAAAAAAAAAAGGCUGCAAAAUCAUCCUUUCUUACAGAAGUGUGACCAGAUUAAGCUAUUUCCUGUUAUGAUACACUCCCCCUGGCACCGGGACAGGUUUACAUCUGUAUUUCUGCUUUUGAGAGAGCCGUUGCUCUUGGUAAGAAUACAUAGAAGUGUCUGUUAUCCUGGGAAUGCACAAACAACUUUUGUUGAAAUCAGUACCACCAAAAGCAGUUCCAUCUCAUUGCCUGUUUUAAUAAAUAUUUUCUACAUUUUCUUCCCGAGAUUCUUUUCUCCUCCUCCUUUCUUCCUUCCUUCCCUCCUUCCCUACUUCCUUCCUUCCUUUUCUCUUUUUUUUUUUCCUGUUUUAGUAACUGUGAGGCUCAGUUGUCCAAAAGGCCUAUUUAUAACUUUCUUGUGAACACAGGUGAACCAGAGCCAAUUCUUGCCCUGCAGCUAUGUGAAAAGCAGGGAAAAGCUAAUUUCAAAAUUAAAUCACCUGAGACAGCCUCAUUUUGCCAGUUUAGCUAACUAUUCCAUGAGCUUGAGCAAUUUGUGUAACUCAGUAUUCGGAAGUCUCUGUUCAAACCAACUCUUCUAUAGACAUAGCUAAUAGUUUUUCAAAAUAAUUCUAUCUAAAUGAAUAGUUCUGUUAAGGAUUUCCCAAUAUACAACUUCGAAGGAGCUCCUAAGAAGUAGCUCUGUAUACCCACAACAAACAUGAAGACUGCCUUGGCGACAGUUGCCUGUAAGUUUUGCUUGAACACAUAGUAACAGCUGAAUUGAGAGGAUACUUUAUAGAGUGAACAGUAACCUUUAAAUGACAGAAAGGUUGACCCAAAAUCAAUGUAAGGGUCCACAUGCUGCAGGUGGAAAUAGAACGCUUUUGUAACUCUUCUGAUGUUACAGUGUCCUGAAAAUGCGGAACAAAUACACAAUUACCCCCAAUGCUACUGCUUCUGAAAAGCAAUCAUGAACAACGUUUUACGAUAGCAAACAGCAGGUAAACAACAAUAGAGAAAUUUAAGGGAACAACCUGAAACAUUGAUCCUGCGAGCCAAAAGGUCCACUUAGUUGGAAAGAAGACUUCUGUAAUCUUUCCAGAAGAGGAAAAGGGCAUGAGAUGUAAAUAGUUGUGGUUACACGCACUCAUCUCUUAGGAGAAGAACCGAUUCUUAAAGAAGUCACACCAAGAAGUAAAGAUGUAUUUGCAGAAAGAACUCACAAGACUUUACCUUUCCAGACGCAACUUCUUUUCUUUACUCUGCCCAGCAUUUCCAGUUUCCAGUUUUCUUCUCUGAGCUGAUGUUAUUCUUCCAAAAGGGACUGAUGUGCUGCUUUGUCUAGUUGUGAAGAGUGUGUAUAGCAGGUAACACAAUCUGCUUCCUGGACAGAUUUUCUUCUAUAUAAAAUGCCUGCUGAGAGGAUGAUUACUAAAACCUUCAUACCAAACUAUCACAUGUUAGCAGAACUUAACUGAUAUUUUUAGGGCUCCCUUAAAACACUUCAAGGUGCGUUUAAAUGUUAAGAAGCUUCAGCAAACUAAAUACAGGUGAGUCUUGCAAUACACUGCUCUUUAAGUGGAAACAUUUAGCUUCCCAACAACAACAACAACAACAAAAAAGACACUUGUUUCACUCUCCAACACACAUGCAUAAUUGCACCUUGAGGAAAAACACCAAACUGCCGCCACAGAAAUGAUGAUAUAUAUCUUGAUUUUUCAGUUCUUUCAGACCAGUAGGCAAAGAAGAUGGCUUUAAAAAAAGAAAAAGUUGAAAAGUUUUCUUGACGUUGCACAGGAUUUUUGGUUAAAUGUUUUUUUCAACAGAUAUCACUUGUUUCCUAUGAUGAUGCUAUUCAUAAGUGAGAAUUUUAGCCAGCACUUCAGUUCAGACACAUCAUGGCUCAGAUCUACAAUUUUUAGUAUCUGUGGGUUCUGUGAACAACUCUCAGAUGACUCAGAAAGCAUUUCAAAGCUUAGGAACAGGAAGAUCAAGGUUCACUGCAGCUAUGAAACUGGAGUAGAGGAUCGGUUUUGUUUUAAGCCAGUGUAGAUUUGAUGUAAAUCUGUGUCACCAAGAGGGAGAAAUUCUCAGUGAUUUGCUACAGCUCUGUUUAACUGGUAACAUUCACUCCUGGCAGCAUUCCCUAGAGGUGUUCAGCCAUCAUUAUCCACCUUUUUGCUUGCUUUUCCUCAUCUACAAUUACAGUUGUAUAUUUUCAGUCAAAGACAAGAGGCACUUUUCCUUCAGAAUCCCAUAAGAAUUUUUGCUGUUUUACUCAUUCCAUUCCUCAGAAGUUCAGCAGACAGACGGUGGGGACUGCUUCUGGUAUCUUGGCCUCCUGACAGCCCUAAUAAGCAUUUUUUUUUUUCCAGGAAUUUUCUUAGUAUUUCUAGGAAUACCAAGAUUCUUCUAGAUAUUGGCAGCACUCUUGAGAAGGAGACUCCAGGAUUUUUUGUAGGAGACUCACAUACGCCUUCUCCCCCCAUGUCUUGUCCCUCGAGUAUCCCAAUACAUGGGCAAAAAGGAAGCAAACAUGCCUCAGGUUCCAUGGCAAACCCAGAAGAUUUUGAAACUGGAAGCCUGCACUUAGUCUGUUGAAAUCAGCAAGACAACAUUUUUCACGUUUCUGUUCUGUGGAUAGCUUAGCAAUUAUGUUUUACUGCAGUUUGCAAUUUAAACAAAAUUGCUGAUUUUCAAA